ACUUACGAAAUAUAGCUGGGGGAGGAUCAAAACUGGCCGGGUCUCUUGAGUAUAAAACAUUAUUUAUGCGUCCCUUGCAUUCAUAAUGAAUGUUGUAUUUGAGAUUCUGGGUCCAAAACGUAAGAGCUUCAAUUCCAUAUUAAAUACCUUUCAGUCCCAAAAUGCUAGGAAAGCCAAUAUUUCAUUUUGAACGUUAAAGGUUGUUGAUAUGUGUUUUGAAGCUUGACUUACGAAAUAUAGUUGGGGGAGGAUCAAAGCUGGCCGGGUCUCUUGAGUAGAAAACAUUAUUUAUGCGUCCCUUGCAUUCAUAAUGAAUGUUGUAUUUGAGAUUCUCGGUCCAAAACGUAAGAGCUUCAAUUCCAUAUUAAAUACCUUUCAGUCCCAAAAUGCUAGGAAAGUCAAUAUUUCAUGUUGAAAGUUAAAGGUUGUUGAUAUGUGUUUUGAAGCUUGACUUACGAAAUAUAGUUGGGGGAGGAUCAAAAUUGGCCGGGUCUCUUGAUUUUUCUGCGGCCCCC
This 515-nucleotide long non-coding RNA is filed under the name Carica papaya (papaya). Its description in RNAcentral is "long non-coding RNA (CPAP_LNC004372)". The record is from RNAcentral. Lineage: Eukaryota; Viridiplantae; Streptophyta; Magnoliopsida; Brassicales; Caricaceae.